UCCGUCCACACAAACGCGCAUUCAGGGCAGAAGAGGAAGCGACGGCGCUUUUUUAACAGCGAGCCCUCCCCGGCACCUCGUUGUCAAGGCUAUGGAUUUAGUAUUACUUAAUCUGCUGGAGCUGUAUCAGCACUAAUCAUAUCUCACGUGCUGUUCAGGCUGCUCACUGAGCAACUUUGGCUUCUAUGCAGCUCCUUGGGACUUCACGACAGUAAACAUGACACUGAUUUCUCUGGAACACUGAGAUGCCACUGAAGUGUUUGUGAGGAAACAUACUACUCCAUAGUUUGUGCAGAAUUAAGUAGUGCACGGUAAGUUAAGCAAGUUACACCUUUCACAACAAGAAUAAAGUGAUGCAACAAAUAACUGUUCUUUCAGGGGAUAAUUCUGUCCUAUGCACAGAAAAACAAGGAUUCUUGUUGUGGGUCACCCCUGUUCUUCACCUUUACUUAUCCAUGACAUUGACUGGUCUCAGAUGGUCUAGGAAAAGGAGAGGCCACAGAAGGCAGACAUGAGGUAAUACUUUCCCACAAAUGUCCCAUCCUAUUCCUUAAUAGUUAGAUAUAAGUCCUGAAGCAGUAGCUUAAUACAACUUAUUUUGUUACUGAGAUAGGUGGAUGGUUUUCAUACUGGUAUAAAUGUUGAAUAUCUGUAUGGUAUUUAAACAUUGUAAUGGCAGUCGGUGGCAGAGUACCAUGUUGAAUUGUGACUUACAUAAAAAGGCAUUUCUUUUUUUUU
Oxyura jamaicensis (ruddy duck) is the source of this 738-nucleotide long non-coding RNA. RefSeq lists it as uncharacterized. The transcript has 3 exons. The record is from RefSeq and is a predicted model, not a curated record. NCBI's taxonomy places the organism in Eukaryota, Metazoa, Chordata, Aves, Anseriformes, Anatidae.